UACGUAUGGAGCAAGCGUUAUCCGGAUUUACUGGGUGUAAAGGGAGCGUAGGCGGUAAGGCAAGUCUGAUGUGAAAGCCCGGGGCUCAACCCCGGGACUGCAUUGGAAACUGUUUAACUAGAGUGUCGGAGAGGUAAGUGGAAUUCCUAGUGUAGCGGUGAAAUGCGUAGAUAUUAGGAGGAACACCAGUGGCGAAGGCGGCUUACUGGACGAUAACUGACGCUGAGGCUCGAAAGCGUGGGGAGCAAAC
This 250-nucleotide ribosomal RNA is filed under the name uncultured bacterium. Its description in RNAcentral is "partial 16S ribosomal RNA". It matches the Rfam family "Bacterial small subunit ribosomal RNA", at positions 524 to 773 of the family's 1533-position model. The record is from RNAcentral.